GGGGCAUCGAGAUAACUCCCAACCCAAUGUGAACCAUACCAAACUGUUGCCUCGGCGGGGUCACGCCCCGGGUGCGUCGCAGCCCCGGAACCAGGCGCCCGCCGGAGGGACCAACCAAACUCUUUUCUGUAGUCCCCUCGCGGACGUUAUUUCUUACAGCUCUGAGCAAAAAUUCAAAAUGAAUCAAAACUUUCAACAACGGAUCUCUUGGUUCUGGCAUCGAUGAAGAACGCAGCGAAAUGCGAUAAGUAAUGUGAAUUGCAGAAUUCAGUGAAUCAUCGAAUCUUUGAACGCACAUUGCGCCCGCCAGUAUUCUGGCGGGCAUGCCUGUCCGAGCGUCAUUUCAACCCUCGAACCCCUCCGGGGGGUCGGCGUUGGGGACCUCGGGAGCCCCUAAGACGGGAUCCCGGCCCCGAAAUACAGUGGCGGUCUCGCCGCAGCCUCUCCUGCGCAGUAGUUUGCACAACUCGCACCGGGAGCGCGGCGCGUCCACGUCCGUAAAACACCCAACUUCUGAAAUGUUGACCUCGGAUCAGGUAGGAAUACCCGCUGAACUUAAGCAUAUCAAUAAGCCGGAGGAA
RNAcentral lists this ribosomal RNA (581 nucleotides) under Trichoderma viride. RNAcentral's name for it is "eukaryotic LSU rRNA". The stretch from base 188 to 341 matches the Rfam family "5.8S ribosomal RNA". Lineage: Eukaryota; Fungi; Ascomycota; Sordariomycetes; Hypocreales; Hypocreaceae. The record is from RNAcentral.